AGAGUUUGAUCAUGGCUCAGGAUGAACGCUAGCGGCAGGCUUAACACAUGCAAGUCGAGGGGUAUAGUAGCAAUACUAGAGACCGGCGCACGGGUGCGUAACGCGUAUGCAAUCUACCUUUUACAGAGGGAUAGCCCAGAGAAAUUUGGAUUAAUACCUCAUAGUAUUAUAGAAUGGCAUCAUUUUAUAAUUAAAGUCACAACGGUAAAAGAUGAGCAUGCGUCCCAUUAGCUAGUUGGUAAGGUAACGGCUUACCAAGGCAACGAUGGGUAGGGGUCCUGAGAGGGAGAUCCCCCACACUGGUACUGAGACACGGACCAGACUCCUACGGGAGGCAGCAGUGAGGAAUAUUGGUCAAUGGACGCAAGUCUGAACCAGCCAUGCCGCGUGCAGGAUGACGGUCCUACGGAUUGUAAACUGCUUUUAUACAGGAAGAAACCCUGGCUCGUGAGCCAGAUUGACGGUACUGUAAGAAUAAGGAUCGGCUAACUCCGUGCCAGCAGCCGCGGUAAUACGGAGGAUCCAAGCGUUAUCCGGAAUCAUUGGGUUUAAAGGGUCCGUAGGCGGUCUUAUAAGUCAGUGGUGAAAUCUCCCCGCUCAACGGGGAAACGGCCAUUGAUACUGUAAGACUUGAAUUAUUAGGAAGUAACUAGAAUAUGUAGUGUAGCGGUGAAAUGCUUAGAUAUUACAUGGAAUACCAAUUGCGAAGGCAGGUCACUACUAAUUGAUUGACGCUGAUGGACGAAAGCGUGGGGAGCGAACAGGAUUAGAUACCCUGGUAGUCCACGCCGUAAACGAUGGAUACUAGCUGUUGGGCGCAAGUUCCAGUGGCUAAGCGAAAGUGAUAAGUUCCCCCUGG
This 859-nucleotide ribosomal RNA is filed under the name uncultured bacterium. RNAcentral's name for it is "bacterial SSU rRNA". It matches the Rfam family "Bacterial small subunit ribosomal RNA", at positions 9 to 873 of the family's 1533-position model. The record is from RNAcentral.